Molecule: long non-coding RNA, 16704 nt
Organism: Numida meleagris (helmeted guineafowl)
Lineage: Eukaryota; Metazoa; Chordata; Aves; Galliformes; Numididae
Exons: 3
Source: RefSeq, a predicted model, not a curated record
UCAUGGUUACUGGGCAUGGUGGUGAUGGGCUGGUUUGACUAGGUGAUCUUAGAGGACUUUUCCAACCUUAAUGAUUCUAUGAUUCAUGUGUGGUUCUCUGCUGUGGGUGAUAAGUCAGCAAAACAUCCUUUUUGUUCUACCCAAGCCAGCUAGCAUCACAGUCUCAGCAGAGUAAAUGGGGAAGUUAUUCCUGUUGGAGACAGUAGCAAAAGGAUGGAUGGUUCAGUCUAGCCUUGAGUGUUCUGAGUGUUUUUCUCCUGAGCCAAUCUGUGGGCUUUUGGGGAAAGGUUGGUUACAUUCUGAAUGUGGAUCUCCCCAUGGAAAUGGGCAGUACUAGAUACCAGUUGUCAAUCUCCUUAAAAAAGAAGAAGAUAUCUUCUGACUUUUCCCCCAGAAAUCUUCCCUAAAGAAACCCUAUUUGUAGCAAGGCAUUCUUCUAGGUGAACUGAAAGGCAUGCAGCUCUCUCUGUGAGGUUUAUUAACACUGCUAACCAUGUGGUAAUAGGGCAUACCCAGCAGCAAAACACAGCACUUUCCUCCCAGCAGGACCAGAAUACAGCUUUCAGGCUUGCCGUAGCCCCAGCAGUCCUGAGAAUGAGGAACUGAGAUGAGACAGUUUAUUUGCAAAACAGAGCACUGUAUUGCCAGCAAUGAACUGAAGAACAAACGGAAGACUUUACACAAAUGUGACACUUGCUCUUUUCAAAUUACAGCAUUUGUAUUUUUUUACUACAGAUGAAAAACAAACAAGCUGCUCUGUCUUGUCUCUCUCAGCUUGCUUAGAGACUCAGCUCAGCUUGGCUGCAUGUAGAUCAAUUUGUUUCAAGAGAUCAACAUUUCCUUUUUAACCUUUCAGACUGUAAAUCCCCAUAGGAUCCUGAUGUUUUCAUCAAUUAUAUAUUUUCAUUUUGUAUUGGUAAUCGAUAACACUUCAGAACACUAAUGCCAUACAACAUCAUUGUCUUGGGCUAGUAAGUGAAUAAUAACUAAAUAAUGCAUUUCAAACAAGAGAGCAAAUGAAUAUUCUCCCUCCAGCACACAAAAAACAUGCAGAAAGAAAUCACCAAACAACAGAACAUUGAUUUUUGUGGCUCCAAACUUUCCAGCUGCAGAUAGAAAAGAACAGAACAGAACUGCAAUAUACUAUCUCACUCCUGAAGUUGCACUAAGACAUAAAACUUCAGAAUGCAUCUCCUUCCCCCAUAGUGCUGAAAAGCCACAGUUAUAUGAAUAUUUGGAGAACAGAAGAAAUGCUUGCAAUCUCAGCAUUUUUGGCAAGGCACUUGCAAAUGCUAUGCUCUCAGAAGACAAAGCUUUCAAACAACAGAUAUUUGAAAAACAAAGCUACAUCUGUACUGGUAGAGCUGAGAGAAUCGGGGAAUAGCUUUGGACUCUGGUUUACAAUCAUGCAUGCUGUUACAUUGUUAGCACAGGUUUUGUCAGAAUUUUGGCUGGCACUAAGUAAUACUCUCCCAAGCAGAGCUGGAGUGUAUGUAGAUUGGGAGUUAACACUCUCGGCAAACAGCUUGAACAUGAAAUCCCUAUUUUGGGAAAGAGAAUUUGGCUGUGCAGGUUGGAAACAUGCUGUGUCAGCUGGCCUUGAGGCCAAAGAGCAGUCUCUCUCUCAUUUUAUUUGCUAAUGUAGAUGUAGUCAAUGGGUGUUAGAUGUACUUGAUGAUCUUGCUACCAGCAGCAGAAAGAGCAUCUUGUCUCUAAAGCAUUCAACUGGGACUGGAGAGAGUCAGUUCCUAGACUUUGCCCAGAUUUUCCGUGUAACUUGAGGUCACUUAUUUCUUGUACUUCUUUUUUUGGCUAAUGAAGUGUGGAUAAAAGAACUUUUGUACUUCAAGCACUGUGAAGAUGACAUGCAGAAAGAUGUGAUAAAUGACUGUAACAUAUUUAAUACAGCAAAUAUCUCUUCCUAGAAGUGUGUAGAAAGUUGUAAAGUUCAUCCAAGAGGAUUCUUUCUUGCUUGCUUUCUCCCUUACUUUCUCAUUUGCUUUCUCUCUUUCUUGCCUACUUUCUUUUUUUCCUGUUUCUCACUUGUUUUCUCAUUCUCUAGCUUUCUUUCUCCUUGUCCCUUUUUCUUGUGUGUUUUCCCUCUCUGUCUUUCUUGCUUUCUUGUUUUCUUUCCUCCUUCCAUCUCUCUGCCCUCUGUUUAUUUCCCCAGACUGAGCUGUUUAGCUCAAGCACCAAGGCCUCUGGAGGCCCUGGAAUGUGUCUAGGUUAUUUCUGUCUUCUGCAAAUUCAGCGCACCGGCGUAUCAGAACGAGAUGAACCUCUGCCUUGAGUUUGUCAAAAUGUGUUUUGAGCCUAAAAUGUUUAAAAGAAGCCAGACAUAUGGCAUGUUCUAAGUAAAUAUUGCUUCACUGGAAGAUUUGGAAUCAGCUCUCAGUGGCUAUGUGAUACAGUCCUGCACCAUAAUAAUGAUAAUGAAAAUUACAGAAAAACGUAGUGAAAAACUUAAUUGAAUAUACAGAAAAGAGGAUAGUUGUAUUUUCCAUCCUGAUUCAGGAUGGUGCUUAAACUUUUCCUUCCCGUUAAGAGCACUUAAGUACCUUUCCCAAAUAAAGAAUGAUAAUCAUCUGAUUUUGGUUAUGGUACCAAAUGAUACUAAACAGAUAUUAUGUCCAGAACAAGAUACAAAACAAAACAAGUAUUUGCUUGGAUAUGUUUAUCUCACUGCAUUGAUAUUCUACCUACUGGUCAGCAGUGCUGCUGGAGCUCCUCCUCCCAUGGAUUUAAGGUACUGCUUUUCAUUGUUUCUGUAGUCACUUCUCUGCUGCUCAUUUUCUCAAGUGGUAAACUCUUCCCAGGUAAGAUAAACAAGAAAGUUUCUCUUCAGCAGAACACUAUUGCUUGAACACACCGGUGCUUGUGUGUUGAUGUAUGCUCUGAUAAAGCUCUUCUGACAAACUGUGAAUUUUCAGAUGCCACCUUCAUUUAAGCAGGAAUUUACCCUAUUUCUCUAUAGGGAUGGUGCUGCAUUUGAAGAAAAGGACUCUGUCUUAUUCUAGAUUAACUCCUGCAUCAUGAUUGACUGCAUUUGUUAGCAUGAUGAGUAGAUGAGAAUAUAUAUGUUUAGUAUGAAGGGAGUGUUAUAAAACACUGUUUUCACAUACUGCAAUGCCUUGUCAUAUUCUCUUGGUACUGGUCAAAUUAUGGUCUCCUAUAGCUGUGGAAUGAGCAAAGAGCCCUUACUUGGCAUGUAUUAAAAUAUACCUCUGAGAUUCUUUGAUUUGAUGCCUUGUCAUAGAAUAGGUCCAUGGAUGUGGUUUUUCUCCUGACUUGGUAGCAAUUCAUUAUUAUUACUUUUUUGUUCACAUUGUUUUACAUUUUACAAAGUGACCUAUUCUGAAAAUUUAAGGGAUAAAUUUUCUGUCCAUAUCAAGGUAUAUUAAAAAUGAACAAUGUAAAUGGCUUGCCAUCUAACCCAUAUCCCCAAAUCUGUCAUUUUUGUUUUCAUCCAGAAGGGUAAAUACACUUUAAAAAACUAGUCAGCAUCAAUUUUCUGAAGAUUUAGGAAUGAGGAAUGCUUUCUCUAAUUCCAUGUGUUAACAUUUUUAAGAUCUAGACAAGUCCUUCUUUGUUAUGAUCAAACAGUUAAAACAUGGAGUAACAUGUUAAUUUGGCUAGAAAUCCUUUCUGUAUAUCCCUAACCUCUAUCGGUGUCAAGGGCAUCAUUCUGUAAUGAGUCUUUAUCAAGACUGCCAUUUAGACAGUCCUGAGAUCUUUCUGCCCCAAAAGAUUUAUCUGUUCUUUCUGUCAUCUCAGACCUAGAACAGGUGGGAAUUUAGGAAGUUUUCACUUUUCAGCCAAACUUUCUGUACAAAGCCCAUUAAGAUUUCUGUGCAAAUGGGAGUGGGGGAUAGGAGGACCUGUAGAAGAGAAUAUGCUUCUUUUAAUCUUGACUACAGUACAAUAAGAUUUUUUCCAUUGAUCUUUGAUCUGAAGUACAAAACAUCCCUUAAGCCAUGGGAAUUCAAAGUAUCUAUUGAAUUAUCUAUCUAGCAACAGUACAGUCAUUUUUUUUUUAGAAAUAUAUGUUCGCUUACUGUGUCAUUUUAAUUAUAUUAUUCUAGUAUCUGACAUACAUCUUUGGUUCUCAGAAGUUUGGAGGAACUUCUGUCUUCACAGGUGUAUGCACAGUGGAGUGACUUUUUUUUAGUCAAGAGUUAAAUUUUAUCCUCUACACUUACAUGCUCUCAAUCCUACUGAUGUUACUGAGAGUCUUUAUCUUCAGUGGGGGUUUGAUAAAGCCCUAAUGAAAGUUGGCAUCGGCUACAAAAAUCAACAAAGGACCAUUUCUACAGGGAAAUUCAAUCAAAAUAACCCCCUUCAAGAAUUAGAAAAGACACCAUAAAAAGACUUUCAAGAAACUAGCUAAAAUUAUGUAAUUAAAUAUCUAACAUAUCUAACAGACAGUAGAAGUUUGUACAAUUCCAGAUUAACUCUUUAAUUUAUUCUCUGUACAAUGGAAUUUAACAAAUGUGAAGCACCCAUGUAAUUCCAAGUGAAAAGCAUCUUUCUUUCUUGUGGAUUAUGACACAAGUGUUGCCAGUAAUGAACACCUAAUGUGCUUCAAGGCCAGAAUAAGUAGAACUGUUUGAAAUUUCUUUCUCAUUUAAUUCCUAAGCUUCUAUAAAACUGAAAAAAUGAUGUAAUUGCCCAGGGUUCCCGAUUGUAGAAACUUGUACCCAGCUUACUUUCUGAAGUAAACCAAUUACUCCUAAUUGUGGUGGUACUCAGAUAUGAGUGCCAUUUGUGCCCUACCUGGAGCUCUUGGAGGGCUCUGAGGAGAUGAAAGCAAAGUUCUACCUGCUAAAAAUGCAGUCAAAUUCCUGCUUUAGAAGCAAUGGGGGUGUGAAAAGCAUGGAUGAUAACAAGUAGUCUGCAGUUCACCUGGAGCCGAGGAGUCUUUACCAGCACUAGACUUCUGCUUCAACCAGCACAACUAACUGAAUGCAUUAACUUUCAUUCAUUUAUUUAUUUAUUGUAAAAAUAAGGCAGUUAAGAUUUUUUGGAACUAGCAUUAGCAUACAUUUCCCUAGCAAUAUAAUAGAUGGUGAGUAUAAAUGAUAAGUAGGAAGCUUGACUUUUUCUUUUUGAUGGUUUUCAAAUUAUUUUUUGUGUGUGUGUAAAUGGGAGACGAUUUUCCUUAUAAUAUUUAUGAGCUGAAAAUAACAGUUAAGUCAUUGUUUAAAAGGUGAAGAAAUACAACAACAAUAACAGCACAAACAAUAUAUAGCAGUGUGAAUAUUGUAAUGCAGAGGCCUAUUUUGAGAAGGAAGUUUUCUUCCAUUGGUUCUUGAUUUAUUAAUUACAUCCAUUUGGGAAAUGAGCCCUCAGUAGGCUGAAAUAUAACCCUCUAGUUACUUAUUCUUAGGGGAGAAAAAGGAAAAAAAAAAACAAUACAAAACAUUCCCACAUGUAGCAGUGCAGUAUGUUACCAAACUGUCUGAAAAAAAAACUUUUCUCCUUCCUUUUACAUUAGCUAUAUUACUGAUUACUGAUGAUAGCUGAUUUGAUAUUCAAUGGGUUUUCUGCAUUUAGGGCACAAAAUUAAUUUGUCCAUGUUUUUGUCCCUGCCUGUUGCUGGUUUUGAAUAGAGGAGGUUUAACUGAAGAAACAAAGUAUAUUCUUGGAAUGGACAGCAAAAAAUUGUAGAAUGUUGGAAUGUCUUAGCAGUAAUUGUUUGACAUCAGUUAUGUCAGCGAUAAUGUGAAAUAUUUUGUAUUCUGUUAUUACUUCUGUAAGAAAAAAGAUCUGUUCUUCAAAGAAGUGAGAGCACCAUCUGUGGCAGUAAUAUGAGAAUGGAACUUGUGAGAAGACAUCAUGUUUCCAUCUGUUUUCAGAUAGCAUUAAACAAUGGCCAAAUCCACUAAACUGUUUCUGCUGUGUGAAUUUGUAAAGUGUGGUUUACAAUUUUUCAUGGCUUCUGUGUCUGAACUUAUGCAUGCAAGUCUGGAAUGAAUGUCUGUCGAAUACAACUGCCUUUGAGUACAGACAUGUCUGUUCUGGAGGGCACGCACAACAUCAGAGGUCUGCUGCCAUCAUUGGCUGUCAUGUUGGCCAUGUAUGAGACCCUGUAUAUUGUGAAGCAGAGAGAAGCUACAUUUUUUAUCUUGCUCUUCCUUUUCUAAAUACUGGCUCCAGGGUGUAUUUAACAACAGAUACUUUAAAGAGUAAAAUGUGGUGAUACCUAGUUAUCAUCUUGUAAUACCUUUAUUUUUUUGCAUGUCUUUUUGCAUCAGUGUCGUCUAGAAACAAGUCUUUUUUUUCCAGUGAGUUAGUGUAUCUUCCACCUGUCUGACUAACUGGGUAGGCUUUGAAGUACACUGAGUGUUGGCCAUUUUUGUGCCCAGACAACUGGAAGCUCACACACAUCAAGCUUCGCAGCUGACUGCAUCAGCGGGCAGACAGGAUGGCAGAGCUGUAUCACACGGAUGCGCAUUCUUGCGAGCAAAACCAGAAGAAACCGAGUCAGACUGAUUUUAGGAAACACUGGUUUUGACAUCAUCAAUUUAAUGCCUUAUGGUUCAUGGAUACACAUUGCUUCUGAAGCCCCGUGGGCAAGUUUCCGAUCCUUUCUGCUCUGCAUAAUGAGUAGCUCUGGCUCUCUGAGCUCAGUUCUCCUUCUGUUUUACAGCCCCCUGAAAUCCAUCCAGUUUCACAGACCGCCUUCGUACCUGUGUUCAUAUCAGAAGAGAUGCCAAAGCAGCUGUGGGAUGAAUUAUCUAUUUAUUUAUUCAUUACAAAUGUUUCUUUGACCUGGCAAACUGUGGUGUGCUGGGAGAGCCUUUUUGUCACUCAUGUUACCUCUUAUCCUACACAGGAGUCGCAGAGGAUUUAAAGGUCAUUUGAAAAGCAGCCUUUUGCUCUUUGACGACCCUUUCAAUAUUAGCCUGCAGUUUUGUUUUACAAAGUCAUCAUUAUUAGCUGUGUUCAUGACUACUGCUGUUUUCCUGGGACUGCAGAGAAACUUGAGAUACUAAUUGCAGUAAGCUAAUUUGGCAAUACUGUGUGAACUUCCUUAAGGCAUUAGUUAAGAAUAUACUUUCCUUUACACAAAGAGUAUUUGAAAGAGGGAACAGACUGCAAAGGCAGCAGAAGGUAUGCUUUUGUACUCCUUAUACUUAAGAGUAGAUGGUAUAAUUAGCUUACAAUGGCAGUUGAAUAUAUUUCUCAGAAGGAGAAAAGAACAUACAGAAUUAAACAGUAGCUUUAGCUUAAUGAUAAUCAGUGAUAAUGAUGAUAAUAAUAAUAGUACUUAGAACUUUAAUGUAGAGAUUUGCAUCUUGAAAGUACUAUGCAAAACAUUGACUUAAUUACUGUCACCUCUUCAGGGAAGGUAGGUAUUAUUGCCCUAACUUAAUAGAUAGGGAAAUUGAGAUAUAAGGAAAUGAAAUGACUUGCCAAAGGCUGUGCAAGAGCCUGUAGAGGGAUUCAAACUUUCCAUGUCCCUUUGCCAUUUGCAUCGUUAUACGAGGAUAAUUAUGCACACUUUAGGUCUGCUUUGUGCUUUUGCAACUUGAGCCCAAGUCCUUUGAAAUUAGAACUGUGUGUAUAGUGUUUUGAAGGUUUUCUUUUUUAAUCAGAAGGUGAUUGGAAAAAAUACUUUAAUAUGAUUUUUUUUUCUCUCUCUGGGUCAACAUGAAACAUAGAGGCAAAAAAUUUCAGUUUUGCUUUUAAAGUGGUUUUUUUUUUAAUACAGACGAACUUCUAAAAGAAAGGGCAAAAAUUUGUAUAGAGUAAGUCAGGAAAGAAAAGAGAUUUUUCCAAAAUUAAUUUUAUUAUUAAUCUUUUGGGGGGAGAGAUCUAUGGAAUUAUUUACCACAUUUCAAGUUUAUUAAUACCUUCUCAGAUCCACAAACUGCAUUUUUUUAAAAAAUUUGUAUCUAGUAGAUACAAUCUGCCUGGUUCUACUCAAAAUCAAUGUGAAUCUUUCUGCCUCAAUUAUUUCUUCUCAUGGAAGGACUGGGGGUCAGCCCUGUGGUUUGAUUACUUGCAGAGCGUAUGUUGAGUCAAAUGAUGCAGUGUUAGCAUAAACAGUUUUCUGACCACAACCACAAUUGAAGGUGAUGAUGAGAUAGUGUAAGAUGAGUUGUGUUCCAUGAAGAGAAAGAAAAAACAUGAGCUUUUAGUUAUAAUUAUUUCCUUGUAUGAAAGACAUUAAAACUAGGAUACAGGAAUCUGUUUUGCUUUGACUGCGUGUGUUCUGUUUUUAGCAUAGAUCUUAUGGGCACUACAGUUCUGGUUAAUUAAGUCUGAGCCAUAGUUCACUUCUCAGAUAAGAAAUGUAGUUCUGUAUCUGUAGAACAUAAAGCAGUAAUAGAUGUCAGCGUCUGAAUCUGCAGGAUUUAGAAGGAGCUUUUGAUAAUUGUUUUCUCUGCAUCCUACAUUCUGUCACCUUCACUUACCAGCGGAUCAGUGCACACAAGCUUACAGGCAUUUAAAAGCUGUAUGCACUGAGCUCCUCUCUGUGAACAGGGUGAUGUGCGCCUCUAUAUUGGGAGCCUUUCUGCACACAGCUGGUGUCUCAUUUAUGUGUUUUGAGUACCUACAGAGUGUGCGGGCAUUUGCUGGUACUCCGAAUGGACAUGACAUUCAGAGGUAACAACUUCGUGUCAUGUUAUUGAUUUUUGCAUUGUACUGGCACUCAUUUCUGGAUAUAUGAAUCCCUUGCUGAGCCUCUGAUGAUAGUCUGACCUAAAGCUUCUGAAGACUUUAGUAAAUGAACUUCAGGAGUGCUUAUCCCGUUUCCAGAACAACAUAGUCCAUUCAGCUAAUCAAAACAUCAAGCAUUUUUAUCCAACAGGUUCUCACCAGGUUUGUCAUUAGAGAAUUUUGAUUCAUUUUCGCAUUUGUUUUUUAACAUAUAUUGCCACGUCUGAACAUAGCAGCAGAAAGGAAUAACAUUGAGAAAACUGGAGAAACUUCCUAAAAGUCUUCCUUAGCACUUCCUUUCUGCAGGAGUUUUACAUUAAAGCCCAAAUAUUUUGUAACAGUCUCAGCUUUCCAGUCAAAGUAAGCAUGGAGAAACUAUUUCUAUAAAGGGUAAACAGGCAAAGAAUGGCUGGUUAUCCAGCUCACAUUUAGAAAAUCUGCUUUUUUCAACAAAUUGUUUAAAUGGGUAAUAUGGGCUAAAAUUAUUCCCAGGUUUAUUUAGCAAAUCAUUUCAGAUAAGUUAUACAUUCAAGAGAAUCACAAUAUAACAGUAAGCUAAUAGAAAUGUGCAUUCUUUCAUAUAAUUGGUAAGAUUUCUUUACUGCUCUAAUUAUUAAAACUAAGUGGAUUUUUGGGAGGGAAAGUAUGAAUGAAAUGCUAAAUUUGGUUUAUUUUGACAAUCCAUAUUAGAAUACCAGAGAUGAGCUGUUGUCUCUGCAUUGUUUAACUGACUCCAGGCUUUGAGCAGUACUAUGUAAGAGGUGAGACAUAUUGGAAUGGAGUAAGAAAUAAGCACCUGAAAAUGAGAUCGUGCUGUAAUAUAUGUUGAUCACACAAGGUGGCAGAAUGAGCUUAGGGCUAUCUGAGAAGUAAGAAGCAGUGAAGCAUCAUCACUUUCAGUCAACACUGUAUCUUUUCUUGCCCUACGAAUAUGCCAAGAUGCUUCUGCACAUGUACAGGGAUGGAGGGAAUUGUUUUAAUAUGACAUUUUUGAUAAUUAUCCAAGUUCUUCAGUUUCCUUUGGAGAUGUAGUGGAGACUGCUCAAAGACUGUGGCUAACUUUGGAAAUUAAUAAUCAUACAAUGCUGAACCUGCUCACAUUUUCACUUGUAUUGAAAAUAGUUUGCUUCUAUUGAUACAUUGAUUCUCUAAGUGGGGUUGAACACUUCAGAUGAAGGACAGCUACAAGAACAGGCAUGCAGGGAACAUUUCAUUUUUCAUUAUCGAUUUAUGGCUAAAUUUACUUCUAUUGCAAGUGAAUGAAACUCUAUUGACUUUUCUGGUGUUGUGUUUACUUAUAGAAGCACUGAGAAUGGCAGGUAGAUAUAUGUGGCUGAACUGAGGGCAACCCAAAGAAGAGAAAUUAAAGCCCAAGGCAGGGAGAAAGGGCUAUUCUGCAGCAAUUUCUGUGCUACUGCUUUGGCCAGUGGGUUGAAGAAGGGUAGUGACGCUUCUUUCUGCACCUGUACCUCUAUCAGAUACUCUCCUUGAGUCACCCCUGAGCCUGCCCUUUUAGUAGUUGCAGGGACAAUACCGAGCUAUGUCUCCAGGAGCCUUUGGUACCAUGCCUUCUCAUUUUGCCCCUUUGGAUCUAUGUGGCAGCCAAGUGGUAUACCAAAAAGAUGGAGAAUUUCUGCUAUGGCCAGGGACUAGUUCCAGUCUUGUGUGCUUCAUGUGAAUUGCACCAACAAUGCAUAAAAGCAAUGUGUAUGUUGAGCUCUGUUAACUUUGGUUGCUUGAAGAGAGAAACAUGCUACUGUAGGAUGUAUUUUAGAAGUAGCUGAAAAUAUACCCUGCAUGUGAAUUUAGUCCUAUCUAUAACUAAAUUAAGUGACUGACCAGGAUAUUCUUAUGAGCAAAGACUUAAGGAUUGGGAUCUGUUCAUCGCUCUUUAUGCGAUAUAUAUCUAGAAGCUCAUUAGAAGCUAUUAGAGCUUAUUCAACCUUGCAACCUUUUCAGCAGAUGUUCAGCUGUUUGUUUUUCCUCGUUGCCUGAAGAUAUUUGGCUAAGCAUUAAAACAAGACUGGAGUAGGUCAGAAAAGUAUUUGUUUUCCAGAAAAAAAUAAACUAGGAAGUAAAACAGAUGACAAUUAAUAUUAAAAAUGUCAUCUGUAAUAUAUUAAUGAGAACUGAAGAAAAAGAAUUGAAAGAAACUUUGAAAUGUAGAGCUAUAACAAACACUGGAUUUCCAAUCUAUAUCUUUGCACAGACAAGAGGUUACAAAAUGAUAAGAAAGGAAAAAAAAGAACUGAGAGAAAAAGGCAAACAAAAGUAAAAAAGGUGAGUUCUGGAAAAUUUCUUUUUUAUCAGCUGCAUUUGCCUUUGGUCCUUCAGUCACUCAUGGAAGUCACAGUCUAUGAAACUCAACACGGCUUUCUGAGUGGGCUGUGGUCAUGUCUAAAAGGCUUUUUUAUCCCAUAGCUGAACCCUGGGCUUCAGCCCUAAGAGUCCCCUGUGACCCCGUGUUAUUGUCUCCAGAUUAACCCACAGUCAAUGCCCUGUCUUUCAGCUGGUAGCUGCUGCCUCUCAGCUCAGCCUCAGUAAUUGUGUGAUGUCUCCUCUGCUGUCCCAGGGAGGUUAUUUUUAAUUGCCAGUGGUUUUAACUUACCUGCUCGAAUGUACAGUGCACAGCCUUGAGUCACUCACGCAUACUUCUCAGCCUAGAUCAGGUAACUGAGUGGAGAUAGCUUCUCAAAAUGCCUCUCUGCUGUGACUGCCUGUGAGUCCUCCCUCUUCUUUUCAGUACAAAGUCAGGCACUAACAGCCUAAACCACUGCAGGAGAUGCUUUGAGUUAAACUGCUAGCCUUGCACUGAAAUGGACAAAAAAUGCUCACUUAUACCUGCUCUUCACCACCUCUCAAUCGUUAAUUACUGCCUCUCCGUCUGAUUUUUCUCACAGCAGGCUGCUGCUGCUUGUGCUGCAUACAUUGCAAAGUGUGGGCUCCCUAGGAGAUGCAAGCCGGGGCUGCAAGGCAGUGCAGGUGGGGUGGGAGGGUAACAGCAGGGAUGGCUGGUGAGUUGGGGCACAAACUGUGCUCAGACUGGGCUUAGCAGACAUUUUGGGUACCAUCUGUCACAAUAUACCAAAGCUGCUGAGUGCAGGUGUGACUCCCACUUGUGCAAAACAUACGAGGGUGGAGCACGCUGUCUCUAAGACAGAGUACUGAAAUAAGCUUUGGCUACUGCACUUUCACCCCAAAAGCUGUAUAUAGAAACCCAGUGUGGCAGGACAGACUGCUGCAGCCUGGUGGGGAAACAGAGGGUGGAUGUUUGGGCUCUCACACAUUCUGUCUCUAUAUGCACGGAUACAUAUUACGUGCUGCUGAAGUGAUCUGCAGUUACACACAGCAGACAGGAUGAGAACGUGCCAUGGGGUUUGUGUGGUCACUGAAAAUGCUCUCAUUUCAGAAUGCUGCUGGAAAGCUUGUAGGGCAAAUGCAUAUGGAUGACCCUGGUGUCUGGAAAAAUGCACUGUGAAAAGGCUGUAUUGGACCGGAGGUGAUUCUGAGCUGCAGACAGUCCCUGACAGCCUUUGUAAAGUGAUAUGAAGCAAAAUACCUUCAAGAGCAAGGAAAUCAUUCUGUGCUGAUUAAUGCCGGUGUUGCUGGUAUUGAUGGUUCAGCUGCCUGUACAAAACAAAUGUGGGUAAUCAGUUCAUCUUGAAAUAACUUGUACGGCUGAAUAGAGGAAGUUGUUGCCUAAUCUAUUUCAUACUAAUUGCUCCACGCCACAGAUUCUGGGCCUGAUUCAAUAUGAAUUGACACAAAGGAAAGUACUCCACUCACUGCAACUGCGAUAGUCUUCAGAUCAGGGCUUCUUUUGAAAGGGAGCAAACACAGCAUGGUAAAUUAGUGUUCAUCUGCAUCUUCACUAUCUGAUUUUUGAGAAAAAGACUGACUUGACUUUUUGUACACAGCCAAAUGAGUCACAGCACUUGCAUGCUGGAUUGCAGGCCAACAAAGCCAACCUGAGCGCAUCAAAGCUUUAGCAGGGGCUGGGACUCUGUUGGCUGCUGUCUGCCACAGACCACCGUGGUUGGGUGUCCAAUGCAGAGUGCUAACUACGGUCUUGCAGCAUGGAGCCAUUUACUGCCCCCAAAACAUUUGCUGCUUACGAGGCGUUCGUCAAAAAAAUCACACUGGGACCAUACCUGUGGCUUGAGCUAUUUAAACGUCUUUAAAAAUCUGUCCCUUGAGAGGAUUUAACUCAGCAGGAUUUAGACUGCAAAGGCUCACAGCAUCAAAGGGACCAAAGCGUCAAUCCAUCUCUUCACGCCUAAAGACAUAAUAGUAUCAUACUCCCCCCAAGAGGGGGUACUGUAGAGAAAUUUCCAAGCUCUCAGCACCCAAACUAGCUAGCUCUGGAAGCAGAUGGAGUAUAAUUAUAGCAGUGUCGAGCUGCACCUGAACUAAUUAGCUCUGCUGAGAAACAGGGAUUGAAUUUAAUAAUGCAUGUUCUGCCAUAACAAAAAGGCUAGACUGCCUUUGAGACCCAUGCAAGUGUCUCUGCAUGGCGCUGUGCUGAACUCUGUGGAUGUACUCUGAAAGUCAGCUUGGAGCUUUUUUGCCAUAAUCUGCUGCACAAUGUAGAUAUCACCUUGUCCCAGCAUUCAGGUACCAUUGGCAUAAUUACUCCUCAGCUGUCAUUUACCUCCUGACUAUUAGUUUAGCAUGCUAAGUUCUGCAUAUGCUCAAGAUUUUGCAGUCCAAUCUCACCAAAAUAUCAAGAUCUACCUCAAGGACUGCUGUGGCCUAUUUCUAAAGCCUUGAAGGAUUCAAAAUGAGACCCUCUUUGCAAUGGGCCUGAUGUUACUGGCAUGGUCAAAACAUUAAGCACAUGGUAGUGGGGAGAGAGAAGUAGAAGACACAGGUUCAGAUCCCUGCUCUGGAGCAGUGAUAUCCAUUAGAUAUGAACAUAAGCUCCCAUCUUAGAUGUGUUUCGUAAUAGCUAUCACUAAAGCCAGUCUCUCUGGCUCCAGCCCUCUGCAUAUCAUAUUAUUUCUACAAAUUAUUUCCACCCCACAGGGAACUGGGAGCUGGGCUCAGGCUCCAGACAUGAGUCAGUCAGAAGGAACAACUUGACCCCAUCUCCCAAGCCAUCAGGGAUGACUUAACUCCAAGGCUCUCACUUCUGGUCUACCACUGUUACUCUUUUCAAAGGGAUCUGUAUCACGCAAGUGACUGAUGCUAUUAAGGUGCUUAAUGGCUGUAAGGGUACAGAGACUAUGCCUCCCUGGACACGCAUAAGCACUGUCCACUUCUGCUGAAAUCUACUUUAUGGUAGUUUGAUCCAUGGCCUGCACAGCAGCUUUUGCUGACUCUUCACCUUGGUGACUAUCUAUGGAAAACUUGUGUAAGUACUGUACAAGGGAGGACUAAGACUAUGAGAGAGCUGUUGCAUUACUUCAUUCUGUGAAGCUUAAUUAUGACCUAGGAAGUGAAAAAUGAAAUAAUUCAAAUCUUGAAUUACUUAAUGUCUUUCAAAAAUUUCAAGCGUGGUUCACAGCAUUUGAUGAUUUUUAAUGUAGCUCCUUUAGACAAAUUUAAUGCAUCUGUGUUAUAUACAACAAAUUACAACUGCUGAAUCAAGUAUGCACGCACCUCCAGACCUAAGUGUUCUAAUUAUUUCUUCAACUUUAUAACACACAAGCUUCAAUGUUUUCAGCCAAGGGAGAUUUUUGGUAGCUUUUACUGCUGCAUCUUACUGGACCCAUUUGUUGCAGAGGUAGGUAGCUCUCUCAUCAGAAACUCAGAAUACUUUGAUCUUACUGCAGAAUCAUUUUUUUCCUGCCAUUCCACUAAUAGGAUCUGAAAUAAAAUCUCCUAACUAGAAAAAGACAUGAUUUACAAGGUUUGUAAUAGUUGUGUGGAAUUCAAUUGCCUGUGGAGGAAACACAGGAAUCAUUACUUCCCUUCCUCUUCCUGCAUUUACUCUGCAACAUAUUUGGCUCAAAUAAUCCAUUUCUAAAAAUAUCUGUGUGGUAAGCGGAUGAGGGGAGACUUUAUAUACAAUAUUGCAUUUGUAAUAAGAGAAAGGGAGAGAUGUGAAGAACUGAAGAAGAAUUCCCAAGUCAGAGAUCUUCCCUCGCACUUCUCUUGGUAUGGCUCAGUGACAGACUACAUCUAUUACAGGAGGAAAAUAGAAUUGCAACUUCUCCCUAAAUAAUUAAAUGAAUACUUAACGUGCAAGUUUAAAACUUACAGUAUAUUAUAAAACAAUUAUAUUUCCUCUGCAUGGAAAGGCAAACUGCCAUUCAGCUUCCUUUGUCAUCUGUAUGCGUGAGUCUGGAGCAAUUAGAAUGAAUAUAUUGCAGGUGCAGUAUCUCAGGAAAUUGCAAGAAGCUGUGCUGCAGUUUUGUACCAUAGAGGGGUGUCUCUUAACUCCUGGAAGUGCUGAAAACUGGAGAGAUGUGAGCACCUGAAGUGUGAUUUUAUAAGCAUAACGAACACCAAUAGAUGUCUAUAUAAUAGAUGUGAUAUAAAUGCUGUAUUUCCUCACAGAUUGUACUGUUGCUCAUUUUAUUUAACUGGAGAAUGCAAACUAUUAAAUUUUAGAUUGUGGAUUACUGUCCAUUUUUGCCCAGUUUAUCUUUCAAAUUGUAAACAGAAUUUUUUUGAAUGGCAACAGAAUGUGGUAGCCUUGAUGUUAUCUCAAGAUAUCAUCCUUUCCCAGUGGUACAUAUUUUUAUGUUUUCUUUAAGACAUACUACUUGGGAAUUCCUUGGCCCUGGACUUUUUUGCUAUCAUUUUAUUGUAUCUAACUGUUCAUGUAAAAUUGGUCCUUGUACCUGACUCCAAGAUUCAUUUUAAUUUUUAAGAGCAAAUUCUUCAUAAAUUCAGGUGAGCAUGCUAAGAUAAAUGCUUCCUAACGCCAGAUCUCAAAGUGGCAUAUGUGGUGAUUUUUCUUUUUUUGGUAGGGUGAUACCAAUCCACAUCUGCUGAGGAUUUGACCCUUAGAGCUAUCUGACCUGAUAAUCAUUUCUGCUGAUGAUUCAUUUGCAAGAGCAGAACAGAGGGACCUCAAAGACCAUGGCAAUUAUUCAUACAUGGUUUGAUGCCCUUUUAUUUCACCACAGAGGUUUAAAGGAGCUACUGUGGUAAUAAGAUUCAGGCCCACCAUUUUACCUGUGUGAAAUCACUAGUUUGAUGAAUGAUACUGAUAUGGAACAUUUCCUUCCUUGCAGAUAUGAAGGAAAAAAUUCAUCCUGGGGACUUCAACACAAAACUCAGUGCAAUUAAAUGUUUGUACUUGAACUUCUGAUAGCCACUAUGGAAUUCCAGAUAGCUUGCACACAUGGAAGGACAGAUGAGCACAUCCACCUACCUUGAUUUUGGGAAGUGAUAAAGGAGGAGGAAUUGCAAAUAUUCGAUCUGAAAAAGAGUCUCUGGCAGAAUUGAGUUUUCAGGUUGUCACUGUGACAGGUUUCUUGAGGCUCAUGCUGUCUUAUUUUUAAUGGCUAAAAUAUAAAAGAGGGGAAAAUACUGACGCUCAGCCAUUCCAGACGAGACUGGAACACAAGCUCAUUUGAAUAACCACGCUAUGGAUCUGUCAUGCUGAGCUGAGACAUGCCUCAGCAACCUCCAGAAGACUCCACAUCAAGCCCUCGGAUAAGGAGCGGGACAAAAGAGUGCCUGCAGCCUGCGCGUGCCUUGGAUCUGCUUGCUGAAAUGCGUCUGCUCAGGAGAGAGCUGAGCACAGCCUUGCAAAGGAAUUUAAUUCGCUGCAUUACACAGAAACAUAUGGCUGAAAGCCUACAGGAAAAUUGCAGAGGAGGAAUUUUGCAGCAAUAAUGUAAACCUUAUUCUGCAUGAAGUAAAAUCAAUAUUCAUUCUCGAAUCACCUUCCUAGGGUCUGGAAGCCAUGCACUGUUCAUUUUCACUAAGUUCAUGGUAUUUGCUUCCAUUCCAUUCCUGCAAUAAGGGCUAUGAAGGUGGUGGGCAAGACAUAUGAGGAGAGGCUGAGGUCCCUUGGUUUGCUCAGCCCAGAGCAGAGGAGCUGAGGGGAGGCCUGGUGGCAGCUGCAGCUCCUCACAGGGA